Molecule: transfer RNA, 73 nt
Organism: Leptospirillum ferrodiazotrophum
Lineage: Bacteria; Pseudomonadati; Nitrospirota; Nitrospiria; Nitrospirales; Nitrospiraceae
Rfam family: tRNA
About the family: Transfer RNA (tRNA) molecules are approximately 80 nucleotides in length. Their secondary structure includes four short double-helical elements and three loops (D, anti-codon, and T loops).
Source: Rfam
GGGCCGAUAGCUCAAUUGGCAGAGCAGCUGACUCUUAAUCAGCGGGUUGGGAGUUCGAUCCUCCCUCGGCCCA